UACGGGAGGCAGCAGUGGGGAAUAUUGCACAAUGGGCGCAAGCCUGAUGCAGCCAUGCCGCGUGUAUGAAAAAGGCCUUCGGGUUGUAAAGUACUUUCAGUCGUGAGGAAGGUGUUAAGGUUAAUAACCUUAGCAAUUGACGUUAGCGACAGAAGAAGCACCGGCUAACUCCGUGCCAGCAGCCGCGGUAAUACGGAGGGUGCGAGCGUUAAUCGGAAUUACUGGGCGUAAAGGGCACGCAGGCGGUUAAUUAAGUUGGAUGUGAAUCCCCGGGCUUAACCUGGGAAUGGCAUUCAAGACUGGUUAGCUAGAGUCUUGUAGAGGGGGUAGAAUUCCAUGUGUAGCGGUGAAAUGCGUAGAGAUGUGGAGGAAUACCGGUGGCGAAGGCGGCCCCUGGACAAAGACUGACGCUCAUGUGCGAAAGCGUGGGGAGCGAAACAGGGAUUAGAUACC
RNAcentral lists this ribosomal RNA (453 nucleotides) under uncultured bacterium. Its description in RNAcentral is "bacterial SSU rRNA". It matches the Rfam family "Bacterial small subunit ribosomal RNA", at positions 340 to 786 of the family's 1533-position model. The record is from RNAcentral.